AGUGAACGCUGGCGGUAGGCCUAACACAUGCAAGUCGAACGGCAGCACAGUAAGAGCUUGCUCUUACGGGUGGCGAGUGGCGGACGGGUGAGGAAUACAUCGGAAUCUACUUUUUCGUGGGGGAUAACGUAGGGAAACUUACGCUAAUACCGCAUACGACCUACGGGUGAAAGCAGGGGAUCUUCGGACCUUGCGCGAUUGAAUGAGCCGAUGUGGGAUUAGCUAGUUGGCGGGGUAAAGGCCCACCAAGGCGACGAUCCGUAGCUGGUCUGAGAGGAUGAUCAGCCACACUGGAACUGGGACACGGUCCAGACUCCUACGGGAGGCAGCAGUGGGGAAUAGUGGACAAAGGGCGCAAGCCUGAUCCAGCCAUACCGCGUGGGUGAAGAAGGCCUUCGGGUUGGAAAGCCCUUUUGUUGGGAAAGAAAAGCAGCAGGUUAAUACCCCGCUGUUCUGACGGUACCCAAAGAAUAAGCACCGGCUAACUUCGUG
Molecule: ribosomal RNA, 492 nt
Filed under: uncultured bacterium
Lineage: Bacteria
Description: partial 16S ribosomal RNA
Rfam family: Bacterial small subunit ribosomal RNA
Source: RNAcentral